Molecule: ribosomal RNA, 418 nt
Filed under: uncultured prokaryote
Description: bacterial SSU rRNA
Rfam family: Bacterial small subunit ribosomal RNA
Source: RNAcentral
CCUACGGGGGCUGCAGUGGGGAAUCUUGGACAAUGGGGGCAACCCUGAUCCAGCCAUGCCGCGUGAUCGAUGAAGGCCUUAGGGUUGUAAAGAUCUUUCAGCUGGGAAGAUAAUGACGGUACCAGCAGAAGAAGCCCCGGCUAACUCCGUGCCAGCAGCCGCGGUAAUACGGAGGGGGCUAGCGUUGUUCGGAAUUACUGGGCGUAAAGCGCACGUAGGCGGAUAGUUAAGUUAGAGGUGAAAGCCCAGGGCUCAACCCUGGAACUGCCUUGAAUACUGGCUGUCUAGAGAUCGAGAGAGGUGAGUGGAAUUCCGAGUGUAGAGGUGAAAUUCGUAGAUAUUCGGAGGAACACCAGUGGCGAAGGCGGCUCACUGGCUCGAUACUGACGCUGAGGUGCGAAAGCGUGGGGAGCAAACA